CCGACUCCAAUAGAGCACUCAUUUUGGGCCACUCAGUCUAGCUACUUUGUCGUAUCACCCAGUCGAAGAGGUGCAGCAACAGAUUGGUACUAGAGAAAGUAAAUAUCUUGAUCCUAUUUUCUUGAAGAAGAAGGUGCAGACGAGGUCCCAUCGGUAGUCUUCCCUGCAUAAUGCACUUGAUGCAUAAGACGUUGAAGAGUAGCCUCCCCG
Molecule: long non-coding RNA, 210 nt
Filed under: Elaeis guineensis (African oil palm)
Lineage: Eukaryota; Viridiplantae; Streptophyta; Magnoliopsida; Arecales; Arecaceae
Description: long non-coding RNA (EGUI_LNC036516)
Source: RNAcentral